This 2878-nucleotide ribosomal RNA is filed under the name Burkholderia sp. RNAcentral's name for it is "23S ribosomal RNA". It matches the Rfam family "Bacterial large subunit ribosomal RNA". Lineage: Bacteria; Pseudomonadati; Pseudomonadota; Betaproteobacteria; Burkholderiales; Burkholderiaceae. The record is from RNAcentral.
GGUCAAGCGAACAAGUGCAUGUGGUGGAUGCCUUGGCGAUCACAGGCGAUGAAGGACGUGGUGGCCUGCGAAAAGCUUCGGGGAGUUGGUAAGCAAGCAUUGAUCCGAAGAUAUCCGAAUGGGGAAACCCACUCCUAUUGGAGUAUCUAUGACUGAAUAUAUAGGUCAUAAGAAGCGAACGCGGUGAACUGAAACAUCUAAGUAACCGCAGGAAAAGAAAUCAACCGAGAUUCCCAAAGUAGCGGUGAGCGAAAUGGGAAAAGCCUGUACUCUUUAUUCUAUCUAUUAGUUGAACACUCUGGAAAGAGUGGCCAUAGUAGGUGAUAGCCCUGUAAGCGAAAAUAGUAUGAAAGAACUAAGUGUACGACAAGUAGGACGGGACACGUGAAAUCCUGUUUGAAGAAAGGGGGACCAUCCUCUAAGGCUAAAUACUCGUGAUCGACCGAUAGUGAACUAGUACCGUGAGGGAAAGGUGAAAAGAACCCCGGGAGGGGAGUGAAAUAGAUCCUGAAACUGCAUGCAUACAAACAGUCGGAGCCCUGAAAGGGGUGACGGCGUACCUUUUGUAUAAUGGGUCAGCGACUUACGUUCAGUAGCAAGCUUAACUGUAUAGGGUAGGCGUAGCGAAAGCGAGUCCGAAUAGGGCGUUUAGUUUCUGGACGUAGACCCGAAACCAGGUGAUCUAUUCAUGGACAGGAUGAAGGUGCGGUAACACGUACUGGAGGUCCGAACCCACUAACGUUGAAAAGUUAGGGGAUGAUCUGUGGAUAGGGGUGAAAGGCCAAACAAACCUGGAAAUAGCUGGUUCUCUCCGAAAACUAUUUAGGUAGUGCCUCGUGUUUCACCUUUGGGGGUAGAGCACUGUCAUGGUUGGGGGGUCUAUUGCAGAUUACUCCGCCAUAGCAAACUCCGAAUACUAAAGAGUGCAAUCACGGGAGACAGACAUCGGGUGCUAACGUCCGGUGUCAAGAGGGAAACAACCCAGACCGCCAGCUAAGGUCCCUAAAUAUAGCUAAGUGGGAAACGAGGUGGGAAGGCUAAAACAGUCAGGAGGUUGGCUUAGAAGCAGCCAUCCUUUAAAGAAAGCGUAAUAGCUCACUGAUCGAGUCGUCCUGCGCGGAAGAUGUAACGGGGCUAAGCUAUAUACCGAAGCUGCGGAUACGUGUUUACACGUAUGGUAGGAGAGCGUUCCGUAAGCCUGUGAAGAUGUACUGUAAAGUACAUUGGAGGUAUCGGAAGUGCGAAUGCUGACAUGAGUAGCGAUAAAGGGGGUGAAAGGCCCCCUCGCCGUAAGCCCAAGGCUUCCUACGCAACGUUCAUCGGCGUAGGGUGAGUCGGCCCCUAAGGUGAGGUAGAAAUGCGUAGCCGAUGGGAAGUGGGUUAAUAUUCCUACACCAUUGUUAGAUGCGAUGGGGGGACGGAUCGCUGAAGGUUGUCCGGGUGUUGGAAGUCCCGGUCUCUGCAUUAGAGAAGGCGUUUAGGUAAAUCCGGGCGCGGAAUUCAAGAGUGCGGAGCGAGCUUCUUAUGGAGCGAAGCAAUUAAAAGUGGUUCCAAGAAAAGCCUCUAAGCUUCAGUCUAACAAUGACCGUACCGCAAACCGACACAGGUGGGCGAGAUGAGUAUUCUAAGGCGCUUGAGAGAACUCAGGAGAAGGAACUCGGCAAAUUAGUACCGUAACUUCGGGACAAGGUACGCCCUUGUAGCUUGAUGUGCCUGCGCACUAAGGGUGAAGGGGUUGCAAUAAACUGGUGGCUGCGACUGUUUAAUAAAAACACAGCACUCUGCAAACACGAAAGUGGACGUAUAGGGUGUGACGCCUGCCCGGUGCCGGAAGAUUAAAUGAUGGGGUGCAAGCUCUUGAUUGAAGUCCCGGUAAACGGCGGCCGUAACUAUAACGGUCCUAAGGUAGCGAAAUUCCUUGUCGGGUAAGUUCCGACCUGCACGAAUGGCGUAACGAUGGCCACACUGUCUCCUCCUGAGACUCAGCGAAGUUGAAGUGUUUGUGAUGAUGCAAUCUACCCGCGGUUAGACGGAAAGACCCCAUGAACCUUUACUGUAGCUUUGCAUUGAAUUUUGCACUGAUCUGUGUAGGAUAGGUGGGAGGCUUUGAAGCGUAGACGCUAGUUUGCGUAGAGCCAUCCUUGAAAUACCACCCUGAUCUGUUUGAAGUUCUAACCUUGGCCCGUAAUCCGGGUCGGGUACAGUGCAUGGUAGGCAGUUUGACUGGGGCGGUCUCCUCCAAAAAGGUAACGGAGGAGUACAAAGGUACGCUAGAUACGGUCGGAAAUCGUAUUAAUAGUGCAAUGGCAUAAGCGUGCUUAACUGCGAGACCGACAAGUCGAGCAGAUGCGAAAGCAGGUCAUAGUGAUCCGGUGGUUCUGUAUGGAAGGGCCAUCGCUCAACGAAUAAAAGGUACUCUGGGGAUAACAGGCUAAUACCGCCCAAGAGUUCAUAUCGACGGCGGUGUUUGGCACCUCGAUGUCGGCUCAUCUCAUCCUGGGGCUGUAGACGGUCCCAAGGGUAUGGCUGUUCGCCAUUUAAAGAGGUACGUGAGCUGGGUUUAAAACGUCGUGAGACAGUUUGGUCCCUAUCUACCGUGGGCGUUGGAUAUUUGAAAGGGGCUGCUCCUAGUACGAGAGGACCGGAGUGGACGAACCUCUGGUGUACCGGUUGUGACGCCAGUCGCAUUGCCGGGUAGCUAUGUUCGGGAGAGAUAACCGCUGAAAGCAUCUAAGCGGGAAACUUGCCUUAAGAUAAGAUAUCCCGGGGCUUGAUCCCCUUAAAGGGCCGUUCAAGACUAGGACGUUGAUAGGUCGGGUGUGUAAGCACAGUAAUGUGUUCAGCUAACCGAUACUAAUUGCCCGUAAGGCUUGACCCU